This 559-nucleotide ribosomal RNA is filed under the name Colletotrichum falcatum. RNAcentral describes it as "eukaryotic LSU rRNA". The stretch from base 182 to 335 matches the Rfam family "5.8S ribosomal RNA". The record is from RNAcentral. Lineage: Eukaryota; Fungi; Ascomycota; Sordariomycetes; Glomerellales; Glomerellaceae.
GGGGUAACGAGGUACGCUCUUCACCCUUUGUGAACAUACCCAACUGUUGCUUCGGCGGGUCGGGGCGCCCUCCCGGGGGCGCCCCCCAGGCCCGGCCCCUCCCGGGGCCGAGCGCCCGCCGGAGGAUCACCCAACUCUAUUUUAACGACGUUUCUUCUGAGUGGCACAAGCAAAUAAUUAAAACUUUUAACAACGGAUCUCUUGGUUCUGGCAUCGAUGAAGAACGCAGCGAAAUGCGAUAAGUAAUGUGAAUUGCAGAAUUCAGUGAAUCAUCGAAUCUUUGAACGCACAUUGCGCCCGCCAGCAUUCUGGCGGGCAUGCCUGUUCGAGCGUCAUUUCAACCCUCAAGCCCGGCUUGGUGUUGGGGCACUACGGUCGACGUAGGCCCUUAAAGGUAGUGGCGGACCCUCCCGGAGCCUCCUUUGCGUAGUAACUAACGUCUCGCAUCGGGAUCCGGAGGGACUCCUGCCGUAAAACCCCCACACUUUUUCUGGUUGACCUCGGAUCAGGGUAGGAAUACCCGCUGAACUUAAGCAUAAAAGAGAAGGGGAGAGAGGAA